This 2928-nucleotide ribosomal RNA is filed under the name Enterobacter sp. RHBSTW-00131. Its description in RNAcentral is "23S ribosomal RNA". It matches the Rfam family "Bacterial large subunit ribosomal RNA". Lineage: Bacteria; Pseudomonadati; Pseudomonadota; Gammaproteobacteria; Enterobacterales; Enterobacteriaceae. The record is from RNAcentral.
GGGUUGUGAGGUUAAGCGACUAAGCGUACACGGUGGAUGCCCUGGCAGUCAGAGGCGAUGAAGGACGUGCUAAUCUGCGAAAAGCGCCGGCGAGGUGAUAUGAACCUUUGACCCGGCGAUGUCCGAAUGGGGAAACCCAGUGUGAUUCGUCACACUAUCGUUAACUGAAUACAUAGGUUAACGAGGCGAACCGGGGGAACUGAAACAUCUAAGUACCCCGAGGAAAAGAAAUCAACCGAGAUUCCCCCAGUAGCGGCGAGCGAACGGGGAGCAGCCCAGAGUCUGAAUCAGCUUGUGUGUUAGUGGAAGCGUCUGGAAAGUCGCACGGUACAGGGUGACAGUCCCGUACACGAAAGCACACAGGCUGUGAACUCGAAGAGUAGGGCGGGACACGUGGUAUCCUGUCUGAAUAUGGGGGGACCAUCCUCCAAGGCUAAAUACUCCUGACUGACCGAUAGUGAACCAGUACCGUGAGGGAAAGGCGAAAAGAACCCCGGCGAGGGGAGUGAAAAAGAACCUGAAACCGUGUACGUACAAGCAGUGGGAGCCUCUUUUAUGGGGUGACUGCGUACCUUUUGUAUAAUGGGUCAGCGACUUAUAUUCUGUAGCAAGGUUAACCGUAUAGGGGAGCCGAAGGGAAACCGAGUCUUAACUGGGCGUUAAGUUGCAGGGUAUAGACCCGAAACCCGGUGAUCUAGCCAUGGGCAGGUUGAAGGUUGGGUAACACUAACUGGAGGACCGAACCGACUAAUGUUGAAAAAUUAGCGGAUGACUUGUGGCUGGGGGUGAAAGGCCAAUCAAACCGGGAGAUAGCUGGUUCUCCCCGAAAGCUAUUUAGGUAGCGCCUCGUGAACUCAUCUUCGGGGGUAGAGCACUGUUUCGGCUAGGGGGCCAUCCCGGCUUACCAACCCGAUGCAAACUACGAAUACCGAAGAAUGUUAUCACGGGAGACACACGGCGGGUGCUAACGUCCGUCGUGAAGAGGGAAACAACCCAGACCGCCAGCUAAGGUCCCAAAGUCAUGGUUAAGUGGGAAACGAUGUGGGAAGGCACAGACAGCCAGGAUGUUGGCUUAGAAGCAGCCAUCAUUUAAAGAAAGCGUAAUAGCUCACUGGUCGAGUCGGCCUGCGCGGAAGAUGUAACGGGGCUAAACCAUGCACCGAAGCUGCGGCAGCGACGCUUAUGCGUUGUUGGGUAGGGGAGCGUUCUGUAAGCCGUUGAAGGUGUCCUGUGAGGGGUGCUGGAGGUAUCAGAAGUGCGAAUGCUGACAUAAGUAACGAUAAAGCGGGUGAAAAGCCCGCUCGCCGGAAGACCAAGGGUUCCUGUCCAACGUUAAUCGGGGCAGGGUGAGUCGACCCCUAAGGCGAGGCCGAAAGGCGUAGUCGAUGGGAAACAGGUUAAUAUUCCUGUACUUGGUGUUACUGCGAAGGGGGGACGGAGAAGGCUAUGUUAGCCGGGCGACGGUUGUCCCGGUUUAAGCAUGUAGGCGGAGGUUCCAGGUAAAUCCGGUUCCUUGUUAACGCUGAGGUGUGAUGACGAGGCACUACGGUGCUGAAGUAACAAAUGCCCUGCUUCCAGGAAAAGCCUCUAAGCAUCAGGUAACAUCAAAUCGUACCCCAAACCGACACAGGUGGUCAGGUAGAGAAUACCAAGGCGCUUGAGAGAACUCGGGUGAAGGAACUAGGCAAAAUGGUGCCGUAACUUCGGGAGAAGGCACGCUGAUAUGUAGGUGAAGCCCCUGCGGGUGGAGCUGAAAUCAGUCGAAGAUACCAGCUGGCUGCAACUGUUUAUUAAAAACACAGCACUGUGCAAACACGAAAGUGGACGUAUACGGUGUGACGCCUGCCCGGUGCCGGAAGGUUAAUUGAUGGGGUUAGCGGUAACGCGAAGCUCUUGAUCGAAGCCCCGGUAAACGGCGGCCGUAACUAUAACGGUCCUAAGGUAGCGAAAUUCCUUGUCGGGUAAGUUCCGACCUGCACGAAUGGCGUAAUGAUGGCCAGGCUGUCUCCACCCGAGACUCAGUGAAAUUGAACUCGCUGUGAAGAUGCAGUGUACCCGCGGCAAGACGGAAAGACCCCGUGAACCUUUACUAUAGCUUGACACUGAACACUGGUCCUUGAUGUGUAGGAUAGGUGGGAGGCUUUGAAGCGUGGACGCCAGUCUGCGUGGAGCCAACCUUGAAAUACCACCCUUUAAUGGCUGGUGUUCUAACGUAGACCCGUAAUCCGGGUUGCGGACAGUGUCUGGUGGGUAGUUUGACUGGGGCGGUCUCCUCCCAAAGAGUAACGGAGGAGCACGAAGGUUAGCUAAUCCUGGUCGGACAUCAGGAGGUUAGUGCAAUGGCAUAAGCUAGCUUGACUGCGAGAGUGACGGCUCGAGCAGGUGCGAAAGCAGGUCAUAGUGAUCCGGUGGUUCUGAAUGGAAGGGCCAUCGCUCAACGGAUAAAAGGUACUCCGGGGAUAACAGGCUGAUACCGCCCAAGAGUUCAUAUCGACGGCGGUGUUUGGCACCUCGAUGUCGGCUCAUCACAUCCUGGGGCUGAAGUAGGUCCCAAGGGUAUGGCUGUUCGCCAUUUAAAGUGGUACGCGAGCUGGGUUUAGAACGUCGUGAGACAGUUCGGUCCCUAUCUGCCGUGGGCGCUGGAGAAUUGAGGGGGGCUGCUCCUAGUACGAGAGGACCGGAGUGGACGCAUCACUGGUGUUCGGGUUGUCAUGCCAAUGGCACUGCCCGGUAGCUAAAUGCGGAAGAGAUAAGUGCUGAAAGCAUCUAAGCACGAAACUUGCCCCGAGAUGAGUUCUCCCUGAGACUUUAAGUCUCCUGAAGGAACGUUGAAGACUACGACGUUGAUAGGUCGGGUGUGUAAGCGCAGCGAUGCGUUGAGCUAACCGAUACUAAUGAACCGUGAGGCUUAACCUUACAACGCCGAAG